This 2932-nucleotide ribosomal RNA is filed under the name Escherichia coli. RNAcentral describes it as "23S ribosomal RNA". It matches the Rfam family "Bacterial large subunit ribosomal RNA". The record is from RNAcentral. Lineage: Bacteria; Pseudomonadati; Pseudomonadota; Gammaproteobacteria; Enterobacterales; Enterobacteriaceae.
GGGUUGUGAGGUUAAGCGACUAAGCGUACACGGUGGAUGCCCUGGCAGUCAGAGGCGAUGAAGGACGUGCUAAUCUGCGAUAAGCGUCGGUAAGGUGAUAUGAACCGUUAUAACCGGCGAUUUCCGAAUGGGGAAACCCAGUGUGUUUCGACACACUAUCAUUAACUGAAUCCAUAGGUUAAUGAGGCGAACCGGGGGAACUGAAACAUCUAAGUACCCCGAGGAAAAGAAAUCAACCGAGAUUCCCCCAGUAGCGGCGAGCGAACGGGGAGCAGCCCAGAGCCUGAAUCAGUGUGUGUGUUAGUGGAAGCGUCUGGAAAGGCGCGCGAUACAGGGUGACAGCCCCGUACACAAAAAUGCACAUGCUGUGAGCUCGAUGAGUAGGGCGGGACACGUGGUAUCCUGUCUGAAUAUGGGGGGACCAUCCUCCAAGGCUAAAUACUCCUGACUGACCGAUAGUGAACCAGUACCGUGAGGGAAAGGCGAAAAGAACCCCGGCGAGGGGAGUGAAAAAGAACCUGAAACCGUGUACGUACAAGCAGUGGGAGCACAGAGCAAUCUGUGUGACUGCGUACCUUUUGUAUAAUGGGUCAGCGACUUAUAUUCUGUAGCAAGGUUAACCGAAUAGGGGAGCCGAAGGGAAACCGAGUCUUAACUGGGCGUUAAGUUGCAGGGUAUAGACCCGAAACCCGGUGAUCUAGCCAUGGGCAGGUUGAAGGUUGGGUAACACUAACUGGAGGACCGAACCGACUAAUGUUGAAAAAUUAGCGGAUGACUUGUGGCUGGGGGUGAAAGGCCAAUCAAACCGGGAGAUAGCUGGUUCUCCCCGAAAGCUAUUUAGGUAGCGCCUCGUGAAUUCAUCUCCGGGGGUAGAGCACUGUUUCGGCAAGGGGGUCAUCCCGACUUACCAACCCGAUGCAAACUGCGAAUACCGGAGAAUGUUAUCACGGGAGACACACGGCGGGUGCUAACGUCCGUCGUGAAGAGGGAAACAACCCAGACCGCCAGCUAAGGUCCCAAAGUCAUGGUUAAGUGGGAAACGAUGUGGGAAGGCCCAGACAGCCAGGAUGUUGGCUUAGAAGCAGCCAUCAUUUAAAGAAAGCGUAAUAGCUCACUGGUCGAGUCGGCCUGCGCGGAAGAUGUAACGGGGCUAAACCAUGCACCGAAGCUGCGGCAGCGACGCUGAUGCGUUGUUGGGUAGGGGAGCGUUCUGUAAGCCUGCGAAGGUGUGCUGUGAGGCAUGCUGGAGGUAUCAGAAGUGCGAAUGCUGACAUAAGUAACGAUAAAGCGGGUGAAAAGCCCGCUCGCCGGAAGACCAAGGGUUCCUGUCCAACGUUAAUCGGGGCAGGGUGAGUCGACCCCUAAGGCGAGGCCGAAAGGCGUAGUCGAUGGGAAACAGGUUAAUAUUCCUGUACUUGGUGUUACUGCGAAGGGGGGACGGAGAAGGCUAUGUUGGCCGGGCGACGGUUGUCCCGGUUUAAGCGUGUAGGCUGGUUUUCCAGGCAAAUCCGGAAAAUCAAGGCUGAGGCGUGAUGACGAGGCACUACGGUGCUGAAGCAACAAAUGCCCUGCUUCCAGGAAAAGCCUCUAAGCAUCAGGUAACAUCAAAUCGUACCCCAAACCGACACAGGUGGUCAGGUAGAGAAUACCAAGGCGCUUGAGAGAACUCGGGUGAAGGAACUAGGCAAAAUGGUGCCGUAACUUCGGGAGAAGGCACGCUGAUAUGUAGGUGAAGUCCCUCGCGGAUGGAGCUGAAAUCAGUCGAAGAUACCAGCUGGCUGCAACUGUUUAUUAAAAACACAGCACUGUGCAAACACGAAAGUGGACGUAUACGGUGUGACGCCUGCCCGGUGCCGGAAGGUUAAUUGAUGGGGUCAGCGCAAGCGAAGCUCUUGAUCGAAGCCCCGGUAAACGGCGGCCGUAACUAUAACGGUCCUAAGGUAGCGAAAUUCCUUGUCGGGUAAGUUCCGACCUGCACGAAUGGCGUAAUGAUGGCCAGGCUGUCUCCACCCGAGACUCAGUGAAAUUGAACUCGCUGUGAAGAUGCAGUGUACCCGCGGCAAGACGGAAAGACCCCGUGAACCUUUACUAUAGCUUGACACUGAACAUUGAGCCUUGAUGUGUAGGAUAGGUGGGAGGCUUUGAAGUGUGGACGCCAGUCUGCAUGGAGCCGACCUUGAAAUACCACCCUUUAAUGUUUGAUGUUCUAACGUGGACCCGUAAUCCGGGUUGCGGACAGUGUCUGGUGGGUAGUUUGACUGGGGCGGUCUCCUCCUAAAGAGUAACGGAGGAGCACGAAGGUUGGCUAAUCCUGGUCGGACAUCAGGAGGUUAGUGCAAUGGCAUAAGCCAGCUUGACUGCGAGCGUGACGGCGCGAGCAGGUGCGAAAGCAGGUCAUAGUGAUCCGGUGGUUCUGAAUGGAAGGGCCAUCGCUCAACGGAUAAAAGGUACUCCGGGGAUAACAGGCUGAUACCGCCCAAGAGUUCAUAUCGACGGCGGUGUUUGGCACCUCGAUGUCGGCUCAUCACAUCCUGGGGCUGAAGUAGGUCCCAAGGGUAUGGCUGUUCGCCAUUUAAAGUGGUACGCGAGCUGGGUUUAGAACGUCGUGAGACAGUUCGGUCCCUAUCUGCCGUGGGCGCUGGAGAAUUGAGGGGGGCUGCUCCUAGUACGAGAGGACCGGAGUGGACGCAUCACUGGUGUUCGGGUUGUCAUGCCAAUGGCACUGCCCGGUAGCUAAAUGCGGAAGAGAUAAGUGCUGAAAGCAUCUAAGCACGAAACUUGCCCCGAGAUGAGUUCUCCCUGACUCCUUGAGAGUCCUGAAGGAACGUUGAAGACGACGACGUUGAUAGGCCGGGUGUGUAAGCGCAGCGAUGCGUUGAGCUAACCGGUACUAAUGAACCGUGAGGCUUAACCUUACAACGCCGAAGCUGUU